Molecule: long non-coding RNA, 438 nt
Organism: Drosophila montana
Lineage: Eukaryota; Metazoa; Arthropoda; Insecta; Diptera; Drosophilidae
Exons: 2
Source: RefSeq, a predicted model, not a curated record
GACAAUUCCAAACAAUUCAUAAAUAAACUACAAAGUUUAGACACACAUUUAUACAAAUUUCGAAAAGACACUAUUAACAACGCGGCUUUUCGGUUCAACAGUGAUUACAUCGACUUUUGCAAGUUCUGAAGCAUGGAAUUACAUAAAGGCCUGGCUAAUCGGAACGAGUUUGCCAAACCGAAUAUUCAACACCCUGCGGCGCACAAUUAUCAUGUCGACGGAACAUCAAAUCUUGGCUAACAAAACUUUUGCAAACACGAUGGAGCUCAAGGUCUUUUUUCAGUACUUGUUAUGUAAGCCUUCUUAGCGAAUAUGAGCAGUACUCCCAACCAUAGCCAGAACUGUACCAAAAACGACCAACACUGCGUCAUAAUUUUUUUUAAAAACUAAAACUUGUAUUUUUAAAAUUUGUACCAAAUAUAUUGACUAUAACUUCAA